ACACUGCACGCACGUGCGAUAAGGGGACUCCGAGUGCGAGGGCAUAUCGUCCUCGCUUUCGUGUACCGUAGGGUGGUACACCAACAAGGGCUGGGCAAGACCGGUGCCAGCCGCCGCGGUAAUACCGGCAGCCCGAGUGAUGGCCGAUCUUAUUGGGCCUAAAGCGUCCGUAGCUGGCUGCGCAAGUCCGUCGGGAAAUCCACUCGCCCAACGAGUGGGCGUCCGACGGAAACUGCACAGCUUGGGACCGGAAGGCUCGAAGGGUACGUUCGGGGUAGGAGUGAAAUCCCAUAAUCCCGCACGGACCACCGAUGGCGAAAGCACUUCGAGAAAACGGAUCCGACAGUGAGGGACGAAAGCCAGGGUCUCCAACCGGAUUAGAUACCCGGGUAGUCCUGGCCGUAAACAAUGUUCGCUAGGUAUGACACAGACUACGCGUCUCUGUUGUGCCGUAGGGAAGCCGAGAAGCGAACCGCCUGGGAAGUACGUCUGCAAGGAUGAAACUUAAAGGAAUUGGCGGGGGAGCACA
Molecule: ribosomal RNA, 529 nt
Filed under: uncultured prokaryote
Description: bacterial SSU rRNA
Rfam family: Archaeal small subunit ribosomal RNA
Source: RNAcentral